RNAcentral lists this ribosomal RNA (1128 nucleotides) under Staphylococcus aureus. RNAcentral describes it as "bacterial SSU rRNA". It matches the Rfam family "Bacterial small subunit ribosomal RNA", at positions 45 to 1152 of the family's 1533-position model. The record is from RNAcentral. Lineage: Bacteria; Bacillati; Bacillota; Bacilli; Caryophanales; Staphylococcaceae.
UGGAUUAGUACAGUAGAGUUUGAUCCUGGCUCAGUAAGUCGUAACAAGGUAACCAGUAGAGUUUGAUGCUGGGGAAGAGUAACACGUGGAUAACCUACCUAUAAGACUGGGAUAACUUCGGGAAACCGGAGCUAAUACCGGAUAAUAUUUUGAACCGCAUGGUUCAAAAGUGAAAGACGGUCUUGCUGUCACUUAUAGAUGGAUCCGCGCUGCAUUAGCUAGUUGGUAAGGUAACGGCUUACCAAGGCAACGAUGCAUAGCCGACCUGAGAGGGUGAUCGGCCACACUGGAACUGAGACACGGUCCAGACUCCUACGGGAGGCAGCAGUAGGGAAUCUUCCGCAAUGGGCGAAAGCCUGACGGAGCAACGCCGCGUGAGUGAUGAAGGUCUUCGGAUCGUAAAACUCUGUUAUUAGGGAAGAACAUAUGUGUAAGUAACUGUGCACAUCUUGACGGUACCUAAUCAGAAAGCCACGGCUAACUACGUGCCAGCAGCCGCGGUAAUACGUAGGUGGCAAGCGUUAUCCGGAAUUAUUGGGCGUAAAGCGCGCGUAGGCGGUUUUUUAAGUCUGAUGUGAAAGCCCACGGCUCAACCGUGGAGGGUCAUUGGAAACUGGAAAACUUGAGUGCAGAAGAGGAAAGUGGAAUUCCAUGUGUAGCGGUGAAAUGCGCAGAGAUAUGGAGGAACACCAGUGGCGAAGGCGACUUUCUGGUCUGUAACUGACGCUGAUGUGCGAAAGCGUGGGGAUCAAACAGGAUUAGAUACCCUGGUAGUCCACGCCGUAAACGAUGAGUGCUAAGUGUUAGGGGGUUUCCGCCCCUUAGUGCUGCAGCUAACGCAUUAAGCACUCCGCCUGGGGAGUACGACCGCAAGGUUGAAACUCAAAGGAAUUGACGGGGACCCGCACAAGCGGUGGAGCAUGUGGUUUAAUUCGAAGCAACGCGAAGACCUUACCAAAUCUUGACAUCCUUUGACACUCUAGAGAUAGAGCUUUCCCCUUCGGGGACAAGUGACAGUGGUGCAUGGCUGUUCGUCAGCUCGUGUCAUGAGAUGUUGGGUUAGUCCGCACGAGCGGCACCGUAAGCUUAGUUGCCAUCAUUUAGUUGGGCUCAUCUCUAAGUCUGUAC